This 497-nucleotide ribosomal RNA is filed under the name uncultured bacterium. Its description in RNAcentral is "partial 16S ribosomal RNA". The stretch from base 20 to 340 matches the Rfam family "Bacterial small subunit ribosomal RNA", at positions 47 to 358 of the family's 1533-position model. The record is from RNAcentral.
GAUGAACGCUGGCGGCGUGCCUAAUACAUGCAAGUCGAGCGAACAGAUGAGGAGCUUGCUCCUCUGACGUUAGCGGCGGACGGGUGAGUAACACGUGGAUAACCUACCUAUAAGACUGGGAUAACUUCGGGAAACCGGAGCUAAUACCGGAUAAUAUAUUGAACCGCAUGGUUCAAUAGUGAAAGACGGUUUUGCUGUCACUUAUAGAUGGAUCCGCGCCGCAUUAGCUAGUUGGUAAGGUAACGGCUUACCAAGGCAACGAUGGGUAGCCGACCUGAGAGGGGGGUGGGCCGGGGGGGAGCGGGGACGGGGGCGAGCCUCCGGGGGGGGGGGGAGGGGGGGAGUCUCCGGGAGGGGGGGAGGGCCGGAGGGGGCAGGGCGGGGGGGGGGAUGAGGGUCUGGGGAUGGAAAACCGUUGUGAGGGGGGAGGAACAAAGGGGUAGGGAGCUGGGCGGGUCUGGGGGGGACCUAAGCGGAAGGCCGGGGCUAGGUGGGGG